GCGGCCGUAGUUCAAUGGUUAGAACGUCGGUUUGUGGUACCGGAUACGAGGGUUCAAUUCCCUUCGGCCGCCCCA
Molecule: transfer RNA, 75 nt
Filed under: Candidatus Saccharimonadota bacterium
Lineage: Bacteria; Candidatus Saccharimonadota
Description: tRNA-His
Rfam family: tRNA
About the family: Transfer RNA (tRNA) molecules are approximately 80 nucleotides in length. Their secondary structure includes four short double-helical elements and three loops (D, anti-codon, and T loops). Further hydrogen bonds mediate the characteristic L-shaped molecular structure. tRNAs have two regions of fundamental functional importance: the anti-codon, which is responsible for specific mRNA codon recognition, and the 3' end, to which the tRNAs corresponding amino acid is attached (by aminoacyl-tRNA synthetases). tRNAs cope with the degeneracy of the genetic code in two manners: having more than one tRNA (with a specific anti-codon) for a particular amino acid; and 'wobble' base-pairing, i.e. permitting non-standard base-pairing at the 3rd anti-codon position.
Source: RNAcentral